Molecule: ribosomal RNA, 498 nt
Filed under: uncultured bacterium
Lineage: Bacteria
Description: partial 16S ribosomal RNA
Rfam family: Bacterial small subunit ribosomal RNA
Source: RNAcentral
AUUGAACGCUGGCGGCGUGCCUUACACAUGCAAGUCGAACGGUAACAGGUCUUCGGAUGCUGACGAGUGGCGAACGGGUGAGUAAUACAUCGGAACGUGCCUAGUAGUGGGGGAUAACUACUCGAAAGAGUGGCUAAUACCGCAUGAGAUCUACGGAUGAAAGCAGGGGAUCGCAAGACCUUGUGCUACUAGAGCGGCCGAUGGCAGAUUAGGUUGUUGGUGGGAUAAAAGCUUACCAAGCCGACGAUCUGUAGCUGGUCUGAGAGGACGAUCAGCCACACUGGGACUGAGACACGGCCCAGACUCCUACGGGAGGCAGCAGUGGGGAAUUUUGGACAAUGGGCGCAAGCCUGAUCCAGCAAUGCCGCGUGCAGGAUGAAGGCCUUCGGGUUGUAAACUGCUUUUGUACGGAACGAAAAGCCCCGGGUUAAUACCCUGGGGUCAUGACGGUACCGUAAGAAUAAGCACCGGCUAACUACAUGCCAGCCGCCGCGGUAA